Culex pipiens pallens (northern house mosquito) is the source of this 524-nucleotide long non-coding RNA. RefSeq lists it as uncharacterized. Lineage: Eukaryota; Metazoa; Arthropoda; Insecta; Diptera; Culicidae. The transcript has 3 exons. The record is from RefSeq and is a predicted model, not a curated record.
UUAGGCGAUCUGUGUCAAAUUUUACACAGAUCUGUGUUAUAUGGAUUUUGCGUGUAUAGAUAAGAGAGUAGGCUUAGAAAAAAUCAAAGUAAAGUUGUCUGUCAAUUUGAGAAAAUCGUGAUAAUGCGUACGGAAAUGGCGACUGCGUCUGCGACAUCGUCCGGAAUGGCCGGAACGACGACGUUGGCUGGCUAAUCCGAGUGUGGACGAAGCAACUGUUGAAGUGACGGAGUUGUCGGUGCGGAAAUGCGACGGCUACCCCGGGACCUACUGUGGACAGCGGUGUCCGUGCUAUGUCAUUUCCAAGUCCUGUUUGGACUCGGUGGAGUGUCGGAGAUGUUGGAACCUGCGUCAGGUCGAUGGUAGGAAGGUCCGCCCUCACAUUCCCGGUAAACCCGGUAGUCGGUUCCGGCCUGGGAGGUGUCCAAAAUCUACAACAAGCUUACUUACAAAAAAAAAAUACAAAUUGAAUGUGAUGUGAACUGGAAGAGAACAAAAUUUAAACGAAAUAUAAAAAAACUAAC